Long non-coding RNA from Suricata suricatta (meerkat), 1648 nucleotides. RefSeq lists it as uncharacterized. The transcript is spliced from 6 exons. NCBI's taxonomy places the organism in Eukaryota, Metazoa, Chordata, Mammalia, Carnivora, Herpestidae. The record is from RefSeq and is a predicted model, not a curated record.
UUGGCGUCUCCGGGCGCCCGGGAGAGGCUGGCCUUACAGAGUUUGAGACCUUCUGCGAGGCUCGUAGUAGUUGUGUGUCUGCUUGCGGAAAUGGUUAUGGGCGCACAGAGGGCAGAUUCCCAUGAGGCAAGCAUAUCAUCCAGUUUGUGUGUCUUCAAAAGUUUUUUUUCCUCUACGAGUCACGCAUAACCACGUUCUUGCUGUGGAAGCACAGAUAGAUACUUGUUGAAGAGGACCUGGGACUUAUAGGCCUGCCUGCGAAGAGGAAUGUAGAACAUCUUUCCCAUUUUGUAUAGCACUGGCACCCGCCAUCGUUCAACACAUAACAGAAACUUGACCUCUGACGGCUCCUGAGCUUCUCAGUGGACCACGCUGGCCCUCUGCAGAGAAAACACCUCAACUCUCUGCGCCCCAAGUCCAAGGCUAGUGUGAAAACCCUCACUGGGCCACACGAUUUCUAGACAAAGCUACUGAGAUGGGCUCUGGUUGUGACGCCCCUUUAGUACUUGGCCCGGCCACUCAUUUCCUGCUCGUGUGGAGUCUGAAGAUGUCACCCAGGAAGCUGCCUUGGAGUUGAGGCAGGUGAAACAAAGGCAAGUCCUUGAGCAGAUCCUUCAGGGAGCGACUUCAGGUCAAAGCAUGAGUCCACAAUUCUUGGAGAUGAGAGAAGACUGGUAUUGGUCCCUUCGGUACCAGUAACCUGCACCAGGAAAAUGGCCUUCUGUCUUCAAGCCUGUGGCUGCACUGGGGAUGGUCACAAUGCAACUCAGGCCUCCCCUGCCUUCAGCAUUUGGUGAGAAAGGACCAGAUGGGCUGUUCAUUCCUCGCCAGCCUCCUGACAUUUCUCAGAUACCGAAGACCCAGAUGAACACGGUGCUUGGGACGGUGGCUGAGACGAGGGUGCUGGUACCUGUGGUAAGCAUGUACUGCAGGGUGCUCAGAUUUUACGUGACUGUGAACUUGGAUUCACUGACCACCAGCACCCGCCUCAUAUUCUCUGAGGCAUGCAGGGUGUCGGGUGGGCAUGUCUGGUGGAGUCGCUAGAGACUCCUGGGGCGUUCCUCUCUGCUGCUGGUGACCUGGCCCCUCCACUUCACUUCUGGCCACAACUAUUAGAAGCUGGAAGUGGGAGAGAGGGAGAAAUGGGACUUAGGUGUUUGCCUCAAGUCUGCACGUCAUCCAGGAACAUUCCUGGUGUCCUCAGAGCUUGGAUUCUGACAGUGGUGAGCCUCACAGGAGGGUGUGAAGUCACGUCGUCUGAACCCAGGACCAUGCUUCACGGGCACCUAGAGUUACAGAGGGCGAGCAUCUUCCUGGUUUGACCAAGAAGCCAGCUUCUUUUAUGAUGCCUCUGAUGGUUUCCACACACUGAAAAGUGUGUCUACCUCAGGGCCUUUGCAUCAACCCUCUUUUUAGGAUCCUGGGCUCAGGUAAGAAUGGGAAGAUCUGUCCCAAGGGAGCCACUCAUAUUGCAAUUUGGCCACAGUCACCCCAAGAAGACAUGUAAACUCUGUCCAAAAUAAAGAGCAAGUGGCAGAAAAACCGCUGACUCCUAUAGGACCAAGAUCUUUUAUUAUUACAGGGGUUAUAAAGUUGAGAAUACUGAGGUUUUUUUCUCCUGAUAAGGAAGGCUUAUGAUAAAAUAUUG